GAAGCCCUCGCUCACACCUGGAGCAGCCGCCCUUCGCCCCAACUAGAGAAAGCCCGUGUGUGGCAACAGAGCCAGCGCGGCCAAGGAUAAACAACGCAUCUUGAAAAAAAGAUAAGAAGGAUCAACUGGAAAAAAUGAUUUUGAGCCGACUCACAAAAUUCUCAGUUUUUCACAGGUGUAGCUCAGCAACCAUUUUAUAGAAUCCUUGUGAGGACUGCACGAGAUGACACGCGGAGCCCAGUCUGAGAACAUGGAGUCAGCUAAAUCUGCUUGCACCCAGAAGAGAAACCAGCAUUGUUGAGGGGACAGGAAAUUGAACUCCUAUGUCG
Molecule: long non-coding RNA, 329 nt
Organism: Cervus elaphus (red deer)
Lineage: Eukaryota; Metazoa; Chordata; Mammalia; Artiodactyla; Cervidae
Exons: 3
Source: RefSeq, a predicted model, not a curated record